RNAcentral lists this ribosomal RNA (894 nucleotides) under uncultured bacterium. Its description in RNAcentral is "bacterial SSU rRNA". It matches the Rfam family "Bacterial small subunit ribosomal RNA", at positions 84 to 1014 of the family's 1533-position model. The record is from RNAcentral.
GGUAUAACUUAGUGGCAGACGGGUGAGUAAUGUAUAGGAAUCUACCUAGUAGUACGGAAUAAUUGUUGGAAACGGCAACUAAUACCGUAUACGCCCUACGGGGGAAAAAUUUAUUGCUAUUAGAUGAGCCUAUAUUAGAUUAGCUAGUUGGUGGAGUAAUAGCCUACCAAGGCAAUGAUCUAUAGCUGAUCUGAGAGGAUGAUCAGCCAUACUGGAACUGAGAUACGGUCCAGACUCCUACGGGAGGCAGCAGUGGGGAAUAUUGGACAAUGGGCGAAAGCCUGAUCCAGCCAUGCCGCAUGAGUGAAGAAGGCCUUUGGGUUGUAAAGCUCUUUUAGUGAGGAAGAUAAUGACGGUACUCACAGAAGAAGUCCUGGCUAACUCCGUGCCAGCAGCCGCGGUAAUACGGAGAGGGCUAGCGUUAUUCGGAAUUAUUGGGCGUAAAGGGCGCGUAGGCUGGUUAGUAAGUUAAAAGUGAAAUCCCGAGGCUUAACCUUGGAAUUGCUUUUAAAACUGCUAACCUAGAGAUUGAAAGAGGAUAGAGGAAUUCCUAGUGUAGAGGUGAAAUUCGUAAAUAUUAGGAGGAACACCAGUGGCGAAGGCGUCUAUCUGGUUCAAAUCUGGCGCUGAGGCGCGAAGGCGUGGGGAGCAAACAGGAUUAGAUACCCUGGUAGUCCACGCUGUAAACGAUGAAUGUUAAAUAUGGGGAGUUUACUUUCUGUAUUACAGCUAACGCGUUAAACAUUCCGCCUGGGGACUACGGUCGCAAGAUUAAAACUCAAAGGAAUUGACGGGGACCCGCACAAGCGGUGGAGCAUGUGGUUUAAUUCGAUGCAACGCGAAAAACCUUACCACUCCUUGACAUGGAAAUUAUACCUAUUCGAAGGGAUAGGG